UGCUUGCGGAAGCUGUCUACAUCCAGUGGU
This 30-nucleotide non-coding RNA is filed under the name Rattus norvegicus (Norway rat). Lineage: Eukaryota; Metazoa; Chordata; Mammalia; Rodentia; Muridae. The record is from RNAcentral.